GGGUCGGUAGCUCAGCGGCAGAGCCAGUACCUGUUAAGUACUCGCGCGCGGGUUCGAGUCCCGCCCGUCCCU
RNAcentral lists this transfer RNA (72 nucleotides) under Blastopirellula sp. Its description in RNAcentral is "tRNA-Asn". It matches the Rfam family "tRNA". From Rfam's summary of the family: Transfer RNA (tRNA) molecules are approximately 80 nucleotides in length. Their secondary structure includes four short double-helical elements and three loops (D, anti-codon, and T loops). Further hydrogen bonds mediate the characteristic L-shaped molecular structure. tRNAs have two regions of fundamental functional importance: the anti-codon, which is responsible for specific mRNA codon recognition, and the 3' end, to which the tRNAs corresponding amino acid is attached (by aminoacyl-tRNA synthetases). tRNAs cope with the degeneracy of the genetic code in two manners: having more than one tRNA (with a specific anti-codon) for a particular amino acid; and 'wobble' base-pairing, i.e. permitting non-standard base-pairing at the 3rd anti-codon position. Lineage: Bacteria; Pseudomonadati; Planctomycetota; Planctomycetia; Pirellulales; Pirellulaceae. The record is from RNAcentral. RNAcentral also lists the same sequence under 2 other names.